Molecule: ribosomal RNA, 450 nt
Filed under: uncultured bacterium
Lineage: Bacteria
Description: partial 16S ribosomal RNA
Rfam family: Bacterial small subunit ribosomal RNA
Source: RNAcentral
GUGGGGAAUAUUGGACAAUGGGGGGAACCCUGAUCCAGCCAUGCCGCGUGUGUGAAGAAGGUCUUCGGAUUGUAAAGCACUUUAAGUUGGGAGGAAGGGCAGUAAGUUAAUACCUUGCUGUUUUGACGUUACCGACAGAAUAAGCACCGGCUAACUUCGUGCCAGCAGCCGCGGUAAUACGAAGGGUGCAAGCGUUAAUCGGAAUUACUGGGCGUAAAGCGCGCGUAGGUGGUUUUGUAAGUUGGAGGUGAAAUCCCCGGGCUCAACCUGGGAACUGCCUCCAAAACUGCAUGACUAGAGUACGGUAGAGGGUAGUGGAAUUUCCUGUGUAGCGGUGAAAUGCGUAGAUAUAGGAAGGAACACCAGUGGCGAAGGCGACUACCUGGACUGAUACUGACACUGAGGUGCGAAAGCGUGGGGAGCAAACAGGAUUAGAAACCCCGGUAGUCC